UACGUAGGGAGCGAGCGUUAUCCGGAUUUAUUGGGCGUAAAGCGUGUGUAGGCGGUUUAUUAAGUUUAAGGUCAAAUACCGAGGCUCAACCUCGGUUCGCCUUAAAAACUGGUAAACUGGAGUGCAGUAGAGGCAAGUGGAAUUUCUAGUGUAGCGGUGGAAUGCGUAGAUAUUAGAAGGAACACCAGUGGCGAAGGCGGCUUGCUGGGCUGUAACUGACGCUGAGACACGAAAGCGUGGGGAGCGAAUAGG
This 252-nucleotide ribosomal RNA is filed under the name uncultured bacterium. Its description in RNAcentral is "partial 16S ribosomal RNA". It matches the Rfam family "Bacterial small subunit ribosomal RNA", at positions 524 to 776 of the family's 1533-position model. The record is from RNAcentral.